UGUUUUAACACUUUAUUCAGAUAGUAAGGAAAUGAGAGAAACGACAGAACCACAGCUCUGCACAAAAACAUGUUUCUUUACCAUACGUGCAUUCAAGCCCCUAAAAACAUGAUACGUUUGAUUUGAUUGAUAUUAAAACAUGAAGUGUCGAUGAGAACUGGACUUCUGAUAGGCCGGUAGUCUGAGGUUUUCAUGUCAUAUCUCUACCUCUAAACGUCCUCUCAGCAAAACAUGGUGUAAAAUAGAUAGCCAAUACAAGAAAAUAGUGUGUGUGUGUGUGUAUGUGUGUGUGUGUGUGUGUGUGUGUGUGUGUGUGUGUGUGUGUGUGUGUGUGUGUGUCGGAGGGAGAAGAAAGCAGGCCCAUAAAUCCUAGUGCUAUCAGUGGUCCAGUCUCAACCACCCUCGUGUUCCUUUAUUGAAUGUUAUUGUAGCCGGACAGACCCCUAGAUGAUAUUUCCUGGUCCCAAAUCAAGAUCAGAGACAGGGGGAGGCAGGAGGAGGAUGGAAGGAAAAAAUGAGAGAUGGAGGAUGAGGAAGAAGGGAUGAGGGUUGGAGGGUUGGGGGUGGUGGAUUUAGGCACAAAGACCAUUUCAAAGAAAAGGAGAAAGGGAACGAUUUAAAGAAUUCCUGUUAGGGAAUACAAAAUGGGAAUCCAGGGGGUGUGAGGAGAGGUGGGAGAUGGGAGAUGGGGUCAUCCCACUGGUGUGUAUGAAGCAAAACGUCUAUGGUCUCGGAAAGUAGAUGUGGAUGACUAAAUCAGUUGGUUGGAAAAAGGAGGAGUGAGAAAAGAAAAUGUUUGACAAUAAAAACAUUAUAUUCUGAGUUUGUGUCACGGGUCAGCUUGAGCUAACCCACACGAGUAAACAAAUAAAAUAACCAGUGAUGAUGUCGGUGAUAAUGUAUUGAAACAAUGAGUGUGAAUCAAGGGGGUGGAAUACAACUAGAGUGAAUUCAUUUUUCCACCGCCUGGAAUGAUUCAGAUAAUGUUACACUAUGUACUUGUAACAUAAUAGGCCAACGUUUGAGCUGAGUACCUGUGUGUUUCUGCUGUACAUACAGGACAUAAGUGUUUGCUUUGGUUAAAACCCCUAGUGGAUUUUGCUGAUCUUUUGUUCGUCCCAUGCUGUAUUCUUACUGUAAUUGUAUUGGUGUAUAUAGUAUGUAUGUGAGCCCUUCACGGUUUGUGUGGGAGGUGUGCACAGUCUGUCCUGUUCUCAAUUGAAUUUGCUCAACUCCUGUGUUCUCUCUUCUCCGUCCUGUCUAAAAUCCUUUCGAAAAAGGUCAAAGGUAAUCGAGCCAGUGAGGAGAAGGAACGUGGACGAAAAUGAGCUUGUAUGAAAUUAGACUCUUCUACACUCGCGCAUCAGGCAAAUGAAGUUUACAGGGGUAGAUCUCGAAACAAAUGAAGUUUACAAUGGUGGAUCCCAAAACAAAUGAAGUUUACAAUGGUGGAUCCCAAAACAAACGAAGUUUACAGGGGUGGAUCCCAAAACAAAUGAAGUUUACAAUGGUGGAUCCCAAAACAAAUGAAGUUUACAAUGGUGGAUCCCAAAACAAAUGAAGUUUACAGGGGUGAAUCCCAAAACAA
Molecule: long non-coding RNA, 1588 nt
Organism: Oncorhynchus tshawytscha (Chinook salmon)
Lineage: Eukaryota; Metazoa; Chordata; Actinopteri; Salmoniformes; Salmonidae
Source: Ensembl